CCAAUAGCGUAUAUUAAAGUUGUUGCAGUUAAAAAGCUCGUAGUUGAAUUUCGGGGUCAGCAGGUUGGUCGUGCCUCUGGUACGCACUGGUUUCGCUGAUUCCUCCUUUCUGAAGAACUGUAAUGUCAUUAAUUUGGUGUUGCAGGGAAACGGGACUGUUACUUUGAAAAAAUUAGAGUGUUUAAAGCAAGCUAACGCUUGAAUACAUUAGCAUGGAAUAAUGAAAUAGGACGUUUGAUCCUAUUUUGUUGGUUUCUAGGAUUGACGUAAUGAUUAAUAGGGAUAGUUGGGGGCAUUAGUAUUCAAUUGUCAGAGGUGAAAUUCUUGGAUUUAUUGAAGACUAACUACUGCGAAAGCAUUUGCCAAGGAUGUUUUCAUUAAUCAAGAACGAAAGUUAGGGGAUCGAAGACGAUCAGAUACCGUCGUAGUCUUAACCAUAAACUAUGCCGACUAGGGAUCGGAUGAUGUUAAUUUUUUAAUGACUCAUUCGGCGCCUUACG
Molecule: ribosomal RNA, 500 nt
Filed under: uncultured Glomeromycotina
Lineage: Eukaryota; Fungi; Glomeromycota
Description: partial small subunit ribosomal RNA
Rfam family: Eukaryotic small subunit ribosomal RNA
Source: RNAcentral